RNAcentral lists this ribosomal RNA (305 nucleotides) under uncultured bacterium. Its description in RNAcentral is "bacterial SSU rRNA". It matches the Rfam family "Bacterial small subunit ribosomal RNA", at positions 338 to 661 of the family's 1533-position model. The record is from RNAcentral.
CCUACGGGAGGCAGCAGUGGGGGAUAUUGCACAAUGGGGGAAACCCUGAUGCAGCAACGCCGCGUGAGUGAAGAAGGUCUUCGGAUUGUAAAGCUCUGUUCUUGGUGAAGAUAAUGACGGUAGCCAAGGAGAAAGCUCCGGCUAACUACGUGCCAGCAGCCGCGGUAAUACGUAGGGAGCGAGCGUUGUCCGGAUUUACUGGGUGUAAAGGGAGCGUAGGCGGGCGAGAAAGUUGAAUGUUAAAUCUACCGGCUUAACUGGUAGCUGCGUUCAAAACUUCUUGUCUUGAGUGAAGUAGAGGCAGG